Long non-coding RNA from Bombus pyrosoma, 677 nucleotides. RefSeq lists it as uncharacterized. NCBI's taxonomy places the organism in Eukaryota, Metazoa, Arthropoda, Insecta, Hymenoptera, Apidae. The transcript is spliced from 2 exons. The record is from RefSeq and is a predicted model, not a curated record.
AGAGAGAGAGAAAGAGGUUUUACUUUGGUAUACCUAAUACCGUAUAUAAUUCCUAUUUAACAUAACGAUAAAUAAAGAUAACAGAAGCUAUAUAUUUUCCUUAUUUAGUUAACCCAUUAUCAACAUUUCUACUUAGUAUUUUUCUAAACGUAGCUAAGUUUAUUCCCCGAAGUUGCUACAAAGUCGCAACGAAAAACCUACGCAACGAGAAGAAGGAAACUUUUCAGCUGUUUAUGAAAGUAAACGAUUUACGUCUCUAAGCGAAAUUAUGCAGAUGAUGAACGAGAAGGCACGUUAAACGAUAACAAGUUUUUACGAUGAUUUCGCCUCGACUUCGUUCGGCCAAGUCAAGCCAUGACGACGGUAUUAUAUUCAAUGUGUGUACGAACGUGGCCGAUUUACUGAAAAAGCUGAUCCUCGAGUCAUGCCUUUCAAUGAGAUUUAAAAGGCAUGUUCCUUCAUAUCCACGUGAGCCCGAUUACGUACUACUAACAACACUCUAUAAAUAGAAAAUGAAACCAAGAUAUUUAACCUCAGUAAAUGUAAGAUUAUUGGUUUACAUGGUGCACAAAAGCUGUUAUUCUUUUACUCGUCUGCGUUCAAAGAGAUUUAUGACAGCUCUACAUUUCUUCAUUGAAUGCAAAUUGUCUGAUAUCUACUACAAGUAUCCAACGACA